RNAcentral lists this ribosomal RNA (254 nucleotides) under uncultured bacterium. RNAcentral's name for it is "partial 16S ribosomal RNA". It matches the Rfam family "Bacterial small subunit ribosomal RNA", at positions 524 to 776 of the family's 1533-position model. The record is from RNAcentral.
UACAGAGGUCCCAAGCGUUGUUCGGAUUCAUUGGGCGUAAAGGGUGUGUAGGUGGCGCCGUAAGUCGGGUGAUGAAAUCGUCGGGCUUAACUCCGAAACUGCAUUCGAUACUGUGGUGCUUGAGGACUGGAGAGGAGACUGGAAUUCCUGGUGUAGCGGUGAAAUGCGCAGAUAUCAGGAGGAACACCGGUGGCGAAGGCGGGUCUCUGGGCCGAUACUGACGCUGAGGAGCGAAAGCGUGGGGAGCGAACAGG